Molecule: ribosomal RNA, 450 nt
Filed under: uncultured bacterium
Lineage: Bacteria
Description: partial 16S ribosomal RNA
Rfam family: Bacterial small subunit ribosomal RNA
Source: RNAcentral
GUGGGGAAUCUUCCGCAAUGGACGAAAGUCUGACGGAGCAACGCCGCGUGAGUGAAGAAGGUUUUCGGAUCGUAAAGCUCUUUCGUUAGGGACGAACGUGCUCUUUGUGAAUAAUGAGGAGUAAUGACGGUACCUAAAUAAGAAGCCACGGCUAACUACGUGCCAGCAGCCGCGGUAAUACGUAGGUGGCAAGCGUUGUCCGGAAUUAUUGGGCGUAAAGCGCGCGCAGGCGGGAUAUCAAGUCUGUCUUAAAAGUGCGAGGCUCAACAGAGUGAGGGGACAGAAACUGGUAUUCUUGAGUGUCGGAGAGGAAAGUGGAAUUCCAAGUGUAGCGGUGAAAUGCGUAGAGAUUUGGAAGAACACCAGUGGCGAAGGCGACUUUCUGGACGAUGUCUGACGCUGAGGCGCGAAAGCUAGGGGAGCGAACGGGAUUAGAAACCCUAGUAGUCC